This 339-nucleotide unclassified non-coding RNA is filed under the name soil metagenome. Its description in RNAcentral is "partial contains 5.8S ribosomal RNA, internal transcribed spacer 2, and large subunit ribosomal RNA". The stretch from base 1 to 120 matches the Rfam family "5.8S ribosomal RNA", at positions 35 to 154 of the family's 154-position model. The record is from RNAcentral.
GAUGAAGAACGCAGCGAAAUGCGAUAAGUAGUGUGAAUUGCAGAAUUCAGUGAAUCAUCGAAUCUUUGAACGCAUAUUGCGCCCCUUGGUAUUCCGAGGGGCAUGCCUGUCCGAGCGUCAUUGCAACCCUUCAAGCACGGCUUGUGUGUUGGACGGCCGCCCCAGUGUGGGCGGGUCCCAAAUGCAGUGGCGGCGCCGCGAUCCGGGUGCUCGAGUGCAUGGAAACCACGCGCUCGUUAGGCCCCGUCGGGCGCCGGCCGACCUAAUUAUCUUCGUUCUGGUUGACCUCGGAUCAGGUAGGAAUACCCGCUGAACUUAAGCAUAUCAAUAAGCGGAGGA